This 171-nucleotide long non-coding RNA is filed under the name Rhagoletis pomonella (apple maggot). Its description in RNAcentral is "uncharacterized LOC118735499". Lineage: Eukaryota; Metazoa; Arthropoda; Insecta; Diptera; Tephritidae. The record is from RNAcentral.
UUUUCUUAUUGGGCAAAUUCAAGGUAUCGGAGUUAUUCAUAAUUUGUAUUCAAAAAGUAGCGUUUUACAACAAGUGCAGCCGUUGCAAGUCAGGAUCAUUUGGGUGUCCGUCCACGUUUGCUGGUGCAUGUAUAUUUACCACUGCAGCGUUUGGGUUGGUCAAGUGCAGCC